Molecule: long non-coding RNA, 240 nt
Organism: Myiozetetes cayanensis
Lineage: Eukaryota; Metazoa; Chordata; Aves; Passeriformes; Tyrannidae
Exons: 3
Source: RefSeq, a predicted model, not a curated record
CUUUUAUGACCUUAAGAGAAGAUCUCAAGCUGAUCCACAGCGAUAAGAUUAUUUUCCUCCUCAUAAACAUGAGUGGAGUAACAGUGGAGUUUCUGCCUCCUAACUUUGUAAUACAAACUGGUGAAUCAUCACAGAUCUUUCAGUGUUACCUUUAGGGAAACAGGGAACUACUUUCAAAAAUCUCCUGUUAUAGGAUCAAUGCCUUGCUAUAAAGAAAACUAAGAGGGAUGAAAAAUUGGA